RNAcentral lists this ribosomal RNA (432 nucleotides) under uncultured bacterium. Its description in RNAcentral is "partial 16S ribosomal RNA". It matches the Rfam family "Bacterial small subunit ribosomal RNA", at positions 29 to 506 of the family's 1533-position model. The record is from RNAcentral.
AACGAACGCUGGCGGCAGGCCUAACACAUGCAAGUCGAACGACACCUUCGGGCCAGCUUGCUCACGGGUGCGUAACGCGGGGGAACCUUCCCUUAUAUUCGGAAUAACUCCUCUAAAGGGGUGCUAAUACCGGAUAACGUCUUCGAACCAAAGAUUUAUCCCCUUUGGAUGGGCCCGAGUUGUAUUAGCUAGUUGGUAGGGUAAAAGCCUACCAAGGAUACGAUCCUUAGCUGGUAUGAGAGGAUGAUCAGCAACACUGGGACUGGGACAAGGCCCAGACUCCUACGGGAGGCAGCAGUGGGGAAUAUUGGACAAUGGGCGAAAGAAUGAUCCAGCAAGGCCGCGUGAGUGAUUAAGGCCUUAGGGUUGUAAAGCUCUUUUAACCGGGAUGAUAAUGACAGUACCGGGAGAAUAAGCUCCGGCUAACUCCGU